GUCACAUUGUGGAAUUCAUCAGUUUGAUAGUUAACUGUUGUGUCAACUUGAGUUGCCCAACUGAUCCGCUUAACAUAGUUCUGAGUGUGACUGAAUGGAUUUACUGAAGAUGAAAGACCCACCAUAGGUGUGAGUAGCACCAACCAAUAGGCUUAUACCUGAGUGGAAUAAAAAAGGGAAAGAAGGACAGCUCACUUCUGUUUCAUUGGGGAAGCUCCAGUUUUUGCCUUUGGACAUCAUCUCCUGGUUUCCAGUACAGACUCUUCAGCCUUGCAGUGCAGACUCUGGCUUCCUGAUAUGGACUGGCAUGGGACUCUACAGUGAGCACCAGGCCUUCAACCUUUGACAGUCCUUUUGUACUCUUCCACACUUGACUCCACGGGCAGCCGUUAUGGGGAGUCUGGCAUGGCUCAGCUGAAUCUUUUGCUGAGCACAAGGCUGAAACCAGUCUUUGCUGGUCUGAGUUUCUGACUUCAGGAAACAUCUGGGGCCCUCUUCUGAAAAGCUUUCCUCAUAAAUACAGGGUUACCCUUACAACUAACUAAGCCAAUGUUUUAAAGACUUAAUUAAUCUGCAAAACCUCUUCGCCUUGCCCUACUCUCAAACUCAAUAUUCUAUUACCUUUGCCAUAUUCUAGUGUUUAGAAGCAAGCCACAGGUCCUACCAAAACUCAAGGGGAAGGAAUUACACAAGAGCACAGUGGAUCAUCUGUGACUUCUGCCUACCACAAUGCUUGAUUUCAGUGGAGGAAGAACUUGGAAUGGGCAAGAUAACCUGAAAAGCCAAAGCUCUUUGAUAUUUUGUGAAUUUUGUGCAUCCCCAUCUCCCUGUCCUUUGAGUCAGAGACCACAUUCUUGAGUGAGAACAGGGUCCAGGCAGAUGAUGAAAGGCCUGAAAAGAGCCUGCUAAUUCUUUUUUUUUUGGUACCGGGGAUCAAACUCGGGUCCUUGCACUUGCACAGCAGGCGGCGGAACCACUGAGCUAAAUCCCCAGCCAAGAGCCUGCUGAUUCUUAGAUCCUCAGCCCUGGAUAAUUUUCAGAUGACUAAAUGAAAAUAAAAAAAUUCACAAUGGAUCAAGAUUCAUGUUCAUGAAGAGAGCACCUAUGUGGGCCUAGUUUAUCCAAUCAGCCACAGAAGUGUCCUCAUCCUCACUCCUCGGCAUUGUCAGUCAGAUGGAGACAUUGUGUAGUGGAGAAGGAAAGACCAGACUAUGAUUGCCUUUCUGAGACCUGGUAGGACUAUGCAAGUGCCUGUGGAGGUGAAGUCUGUCUUGUACCAGCAGUAGUCCCCUUGUUUUAACCUAUCAGAGAGCCCAAUAAUCACAGGAUUCUUCAGAGAUUCUUCAGGAUUCUUCAUGUCCUUGAUGCCAUGCACAGACCUGCCUGUGACCAUAAACUCAAUAAGAGCUGAGACUGUGCCUUAUUUAUCUAGCACCUACACUGCCUUACGCAAGUCAACACUUAAUAAAUGUUUUUGAAAUGAAAUUGGUCAUCAUAAUAAUAGUGAACAUUUAUUUUAUUUUAUUUUAUUUUUUUUGGUACUGGGGAUCGAACUAGGGACCUUACGCUUGCGAGGCAGGUGCCAGAACCACUGAGCUAAAUCUCCAGCCCCUUGAACAUUUAUUAAUUGCUCUCUGUAUGCCUGUCAUAUAGAACACACCCCAUGCCUUUAGCUGUCCCCAUGACCAUCUCAUUUGACAGAUGGGGAAACUGAGGCCUGAGGAGGUGAAACUGAUUUUCUUAGUGAUACAAACAGCAAGUGAUAGAGUUUUGAAGAGAAGAACAACUUCUGCCUUCACAUCCUGGGCCUUGUCUUUUAUACAGGUUGUUGGUAGCAAGCCCCUUACCAGAGCCUCUUUCUUUUCCUUCCUUUCAGCCUCCCCAAGGUUCCCAGUGGUGCUACUUUCCCCCCUGCCCCUUUCCCUGUCCUUUUUCUGAAGGGAGGAAAAAGUUUGCAGAACUUUUAUGUUGGAGCAGGGCCACCUGGGUCAUCAGAAAGAAGGGAAUGGAAUUAAUAGGAGAAAAUGAAGACAUGGAAACAAAGUCUUUGUAAAUAGGGAGGGGUGGAGGGGUUGAAGGGAAGGCAGGGGAAGGGUGAAAAAUAAGAAGCAAGAGAGAAUAUGUAAAGGUACAAAUUUCCAAUGAUGAAUGUCACUAUAUUGUAUAUCUAAAAU
This 2174-nucleotide long non-coding RNA is filed under the name Heterocephalus glaber (naked mole-rat). Its description in RNAcentral is "lncRNA (ENSHGLG00000045890.1)". The record is from RNAcentral. Lineage: Eukaryota; Metazoa; Chordata; Mammalia; Rodentia; Bathyergidae.